UAUAAUUUGCAAACACAAACUUGUCCAGCUAGGACUCAAGUUCGUUCCUUCCACCGUAGAGGUAAAAUCUAUUACUAUUUCAUAAUCUGAUUUCAAUACAGAAAAUGUUUCGUUCUAUUUUUCCUUUAUGGAGAGAAACAAAGACCCAAAUACCCAACACUUCGAUUCACAAAAUCAGAUGCCCAAAUAAAUGAACUUAUUUAAGCUAAAACAAAUAAAAUGAAAUCAGCAGACUGAAAUUAGAAGAGGAAUUAGAGAUGAAUUUGUAUGAGCAGCUGUCGCCGAACUGGGAAGACGAAAGGAGGCAGGGUCGCCCGCCUCCGGCAAUGGCGUGCCGUCCGGCGGCGGCAGGGUGCAGAGAGGGUGGUGGUGAGCGGCCGAGAGGCAGAGGGAGAGGGAGUGAGAGAGGGCUGCUGCUGUGUGGGUGUGUUUAGUUUAAAUUAGGGAAAGUCAAAAUGAGUUUGGGCCUAAUUUGGUGUUACAUUUAAUGGCUCAAUUUAUUGUGAGAUUGGGCUCAAUAUUAAAUCAAAUUUUGGGCUUAAGAUUUUAAUUUAAUAAGUUGGGCAUGAUUUUUAGUUAAACACCAACCCAAAAUUUUAUAAUAGCAUACAUUUUAUUAUUUGAUUCAUUAGACCAAAAAUUAUGAUGGUAUUAUAGAAUAAAAUUUUAAAGUUUAGAUUAUUUUUCUGAUAAAGUUCAGAUAGGCCCUUAUGUUUUAUUAUUUGAAUUUAACUGACUAGGUGCGGCGCGACUAGGACAUGAAUUUUCAUUGAAUUGCUCAAGUCAGUUAUCAAGUUCAAACUCAAGUUAAAGUUUCAGGUGUGGGAUUUACUUAAAUACAUGUCGUGGUUAAUUGUUGUCCAUUUUAAUAUUAUGUGUUUACCAUAUGUGAGUUACUCCCUCCGUCCCUGAAAUAAGUUCCUCUUUUUCCAUUUUGGGACGUCCCCCAAAUAAGUUCCUCUUUCUUUCUUUCUAUUUUUGGACAACUACUCCACCACUAAUAAUACUUUAUUUAUUCUUACUUUUCACUUUUUCACCACUCUCAAUACUAAUUAUAACACUUUUUCACCUUUUCACCACUCCCAAUAUUAAUUAUAACAUAUUUUUCUCCACUAUCAAUACACUUUACAAUUUUCCUUAAAACCCGUGCCGUCCCCAAAGAGGAACUUAUUUUGGGGACGGAGGGAGUAUAUAAUAUCGCUGGGGGCCAGCAUAAUUGGUCCAGGACGUCAUAGUCCUUGGUAUGCCACAAUGCGAUUUACAUGUUAAAGUUAUGGUUUCAACCAGUCGCCAGGGGCCGGUUGAAUCGGUCCAGGACGAAAGGUCAUUGGUAUGCCACCGUGCGACUUACAGUUAUGAAUGUUACGAUCAUAUGUGUUACCAUUUUAUUAACGUGGACAAUAAUUGCAUGAUAUCUCACACUGAGUGUACUCUGUAUGCUCAUCCCAUAUUAAACAUUUUCAGGUAUUUUACUGUUGGAGACGCGUGGAGGGUCGAAUGAGCGCAUCAAGUUAUUUUGCGAACAGUUGAUUUCAUUCUAAAUUAAUUUAAGUAUUUAAAGUUUUGCUUAGCACAGGUUUUAUUUAAUAGUUAAAUAAUCUCAUGUAUGACUUCUUUACGUCAUACUUUGGGACCGAGAUGUUGUGAUCGGUUUUAAACCAAAGUUUGUAUUUGAAAAUAUUAUUAAAAAG
This 1691-nucleotide long non-coding RNA is filed under the name Salvia miltiorrhiza (redroot sage). RNAcentral describes it as "long non-coding RNA (SMIL_LNC007840)". The record is from RNAcentral. Lineage: Eukaryota; Viridiplantae; Streptophyta; Magnoliopsida; Lamiales; Lamiaceae.